AGGUCUAAUACCGGAUAUCACAGCUUUUCGCAUGGAGAGUUGUUGAAAGUUCCGGCGGUGCAGGAUGAACCCGCGGCCUAUCAGCUUGUUGGUGGGGUAAUGGCCUACCAAGGCGACGACGGGUAGCCGGCCUGAGAGGGUGACCGGCCACACUGGGACUGAGACACGGCCCAGACUCCUACGGGAGGCAGCAGUGGGGAAUAUUGCACAAUGGGCGAAAGCCUGAUGCAGCGACGCCGCGUGAGGGAUGACGGCCUUCGGGUUGUAAACCUCUUUCGCCAGGGACGAAGCGCAAGUGACGGUACCUGGAUAAGAAGCACCGGCUAACUACGUGCCAGCAGCCGCGGUAAUACGUAGGGUGCAAGCGUUGUCCGGAUUUAUUGGGCGUAAAGAGCUCGUAGGCGGUUUGUCGCGUCGGCUGUGAAAUCUGGAGGCUUAACCUUCAGCGUGCAGUCGAUACGGGCAGACUUGAGUUCGGUA
This 480-nucleotide ribosomal RNA is filed under the name uncultured bacterium. Its description in RNAcentral is "bacterial SSU rRNA". It matches the Rfam family "Bacterial small subunit ribosomal RNA", at positions 159 to 653 of the family's 1533-position model. The record is from RNAcentral.